RNAcentral lists this long non-coding RNA (4552 nucleotides) under Homo sapiens (human). RNAcentral describes it as "HSALNT0343537". Lineage: Eukaryota; Metazoa; Chordata; Mammalia; Primates; Hominidae. The record is from RNAcentral.
UGAGAUGCAAAAGCCAUUGGAACUGAGCUGGAAAUUUCUUUAAAAGUGAACUAAGACGCAAACACCAGGAAAGAAUUUCUGCUAAUGGAGAGGAAACUAAGGCUCGGAUUAAGGGCUUUGCACCAGAUCUGGAAGCCAGCAAACUGAGAAGAUGGCAGACUGGUGUCCUAAAGGACCAUCUUCAAAGGUAUGAAUCUCAAGCUUCUUUUUAUAUUGGGUAAAGGGAACAAGGAGGGGGUUAAGGUCAGGAGGUGACAGGUGACCACAGACAUCUGGGUGUCAGCAAGAGUCUGAGGGAGUUUCAUAACUUCUUUUUCUUUGUUCAGGUCACAGCACUCCUACAAGUCUUUAGCAUAACAUUGUUCUUGGGUGUAUGCCCUUCUUAUCUCCUCAGGGGUUAGUUUGGGGAAGGCCCUAUUAUCAUCCUUGCUUUAAAGUUAAGCUAUACACUAAAUUCCUCCCAUAGUUAGCUGGGCCUACAUGCAGGAAUGAGCAAAGGCAGUUUGCUUGGGGGUUAGAAGCAAGAUGGAGUCAACUAUGCUAGAUUUCUCUCACUGCUACAGAACCCCCCUCUGUGCUAUUUUGAGCCAAACCCCCUUGUCUAGUGUGGCAAAGGCAGGGACUCUCACAUGCUAUAUUUGAGCCCCAAGUGAUACUGGUAGUCUGACUCAUCCAUUCACCCUGUCCUCUCCUGUAACCUCCAGCAGGAACCAUUUCUGGACCACAUUUGGGGCCACCAUUGCCCACUCUCCUCUCUGCUUCUCCUCCACCCACAGCUGCCUGAGCCCAUCCCUGUGACCAGUACAUUGACAGAAAUCUUGGAAACACAAACCUUUGGUUCAGGGGCUGACCCCCCACCAGUUGGAGGCUGGAGAUAACCCCAAGAGGUUGAAGCUAAAUGCUCAGGUUCUAGAAUCUGGUGUAUCUUGGCUCAACAUGUUGCCUUAGCCUUCAUAGGGGAGGCAACUUAUCUUUUCCUUCUAUCUAUCUUAGGUUCAUUGUCUGGAACCCCUGUAACAAAAGACAGAUUAAGAAGAAGAAAGCAUACUAAUUUAUUUAAUAAGCUUGUUAACCAGACUUCUGAGGAUAAAGAGAGCCUGGACUCAAGAGCAAUCCCCAGAAAUGGAUAGAACCUGAGAGAGCUUCCGUCCCAACCAUCUCAUUUUUCAAAGGAGCCAGAGGAGCAAAGGGAGGAGGCCCAAGAGGAGAGUGGGGAUGCCUAGUUCAUGUCUGAGCCAGGACCAGCAUCCAGGUCUCGACUGCCACUCCCAGGAUCCUGCAUUUGGGAGCCCCCAGGUGAAUCAUGCUGUUAGACUGCCAAGUGGAGGGAUAGAGGCAAGGUCCUGCCUUCAAAGACAUGAAUGUCGCAUGGAAAGAACAGGGCAACACACACGAAUCCACUAUGGAGUAUCGUAAGCCAGUGUACCACUGAAGGCUCACGGAGCAUUUCUGAGGAACUCAGUAAAACGAAUAAUGAUUGUAGACUAUCGUUAGUCAAAUACAACUUAACUGGGAAAAUGGAACUGGACCAUGGUCUUGAAAAACAAGUGGAGCUAGAGAAUCAAUGUGAGGGCUGAGAUGAAGGUAUGCAGUUUGUCAACCUCCACAGUAUAAAAAAAAAGUAAGCAAAGAAAGUGAAGCAAAAGAAAACUCAGGAGUAUGAGGAGGAUCAGCACAGUGCAGUCAUGAAAACUAGCCAAGGCAAACCUGCCUAGCAGGAGGCCUGGCACAUUUUGGAUGUUCUUGACUUCUUUUUUCUUACCUUGCUGGCAGUCAGCAGAUACAUGGGAUCUUUGAACCCUCUAGAAUUACAUGCAUACAGCAUGGGUGAUUUGGGGUGAUGGUGUAUAAGUGCAUUAUAUGAAAUCAGGUCUGAGGUUUUCAUUAGGUUCUCAAUAUAUCUUGCUCUCCCUCUUCCAGGAAUAUAGUAGGAUUGCAUUUCUGAGCCUGUAUUAGUCCGUUUUUACACAGCUGAUAAAGACAUACCCAAGACUGAGUAGUUUAUAAGGAAAAAGGGGUUUAAUGGACUCACAGUUCCGCAUGGCUUGGGAGACCUCACAAUCAUGGUGGAAGGCAAAAGGCUUGUCUUAGAUGGCAGCAGAGCUCAGUGCCCCCUCUGUCACAAUGGCCAGCAAUGUUCCAGAUAGUGACCACUCACUCAGCUAGGGUUCCAGAGGGAGGAAGAUGCAGAGCAGAGCCCCAGCUGACCUGCAGUGGACAUAUGAGGCUGGAUGUCGGGCAGCUGAAGGGUGAUCAGUCUUCUGCUGGAAUUAAAGCCUGCUGUGAUGUUAAUGAAGAACCGCCAGUGGGUUUGCUGGAAGGGGGAAAUUUGGAGACAGACACAUACACAGGGAGAUGCCGUGUGAAGACUUGAGUUCUGCUGCCACAAGCCUAGGAACCAUUAGAAGCCAGGGAAGAGGCCUGGAACAGCUCCUUCCCCAGCACCUUCAGAGGGAGCAAGCCUCUACCAACAACCUGAUUUUGAACUCCUCGCCUCCAGAACUGUGAGACAAUAUAUUUCUGUUGUUUUAAGCCACCCAGCAUGUGGUACUUGGUUACAGCAGCCCUGGCAAACAAAUACAGGUUUGUAGGACUGUAUCUUUAGAGAUGAAAAGGAGAACCUCAAGCGGAAGGAAGAGCAUGAGCUUACUGGGGUAAGAAUAUGUAUUUAUAUAUUGAGUGCAUUCAGCAGUUCGGUUCUACUGGAACCACGGUCUGUAAAGGAGCCAUGUAUGGGAAGGUUAUUGUGGCCAAGUAACAGAGGCUUUGAAUGCUGGAAAAGACAUCUAAAUUUUGGAGCCAGGCACGGUGGCUCACGCAUGUAAUCCCAGCACUUUGAGAGACCGAAGCAGGUAGAUCACGAGGUCAAGAGAUAGAGAGUAUCCUGGCCAACAUGGUGAAACCCCUUCUCUACUAAGAAUACAAAAACUAGCUGGGCGUGGUGGCAUGCACCUGUAGUCCCAGCUACUUGGGAGGCUGAGGCAGGAGAAUCGCUUGAGCCUGGGAGGUGGAGGUUGCAGUGAGCCGAGAUUGCAGCACUGCACUCCAGCCUGGUGACAGAGCAAGACUCCAUCUAAAAAAAAAAAAAGACAUCUACAUUUUUAUCUGGCAGAGUUUGCUUCUUUUGUGUUAAUAUUUACUUCUAUCUAUCUUGGCCUAAAAUGAUUUGAGGUGGCUGACCUUAGCAUGUAGAUCAUGGGGAACCAGGUUGUGUGCCAGGAAGUGACUUGAUCGGCACCUGCACAGGAAGAUGAUCUCGGAUGCAACUCCUUGGAGAAACAGAGUCAAGCAGCAGCCCAGGUGAGAAGCUUGGCCAUCAUCUGAAAACUAUGCAAAGCAGGUCUGAACUAGGAAAAGGGCAGAAGGUCAGAGAAGAGGGGAUAAAGACAAGAGGUGAAAUGAUAGGUUGACCUGGCAAAUGCUUGCAUGACACAGGAAGAGAGAGAAAGGAAUUGAAUGGAACGUGGUCAACAUUUGAGCCUGGUGACUGUGAGGACAGUGGUGCCAUUUGCAGAUUUAGGAGGAAGCAUCACGUUGGGGAGGUGGAGGAGUUGGUUUUGUGCACAUUGACUCUGAGGUGGUGGAGGGGUCCAGCAGGCAGUUGGACUUAUGAGAAAAUGCACCAUUAUUCAUCCAAACAAGAUAAUUGAAUUUUUGAAGGCAGCUAAAAAAUAAUGGUUCUACGCUACAAGAAAUGAAGUGAAAUGGUAAAACAACAACAACGACAAAAAAACAUACACACACACACACAAAAAGCAAAAAACAAAAUAACCCACCCAAUUAAUCCAUUUGGAGGUUGUUCUCAUCUAGUGAAAUGUGUGUGUGUGUGUGUGGGUGUGUGUGCACUUCAGUACUGUUAACAAAGAAAAGGUCUGGUCAGUGGCAAAAACUACUUGAAUGCUGCUUUCAGCAAAGUCAUCCCUCUCUUCAGAAGGAUGAAGUACUCUUGUUUGUCAAGGAAGGUCCCUCUCAACUAGAAAAACAGCUGCAGGAACUCCAACCCAAGGUCCCCACAGCCCACAGGGGUGAUCUCUUGCUUUGCUCUCCUGGCUGUCUCAGGAAGCAGAAGUGGAAACAUUUGAGAUGACAGCAGCUCUGCUUUCUUUGUAGAGUUAAUUAGCUGGUGAAUACUGAGCUCUCCGACAGAGAGGAAGCUCGGGUUAUCAAAGUAUUAUUAAUUGAUGCAUCUGGAGAAAGAGAGAAGCAGCCCCAUCUGGACAGAGCUUGGAUUCUUUUAGCGCCAGAAUGGAAGAAAGCCCUUUUUAAAGUACAGUAAGAAAAGCCUGGUUCAGCUAAACAGUGAGGGGUAGUAGAAUCUAACUCGCACUCAACCCUACUUAACACCUUCCAUUCUUAAGUAUUUAUUAAGCCCGGUACAAGUGACAAAUACCACAUGUGAUCUGUUGUCACCAAAACUCAUUAAGACAAAUAAUAUUGAAUAAGAUCACACAGGAUGGCUUGCCAUCAGAACUACUUACUACUUCAGGCCGGGUGCCAUGGCUCAUGCCUGUAAUCCCAGCACUUUUGGUAGCUGAGGCAGGUGGGUCACCUG